Cebus imitator (Panamanian white-faced capuchin) is the source of this 105-nucleotide small nuclear RNA. NCBI's taxonomy places the organism in Eukaryota, Metazoa, Chordata, Mammalia, Primates, Cebidae. The record is from RefSeq and is a predicted model, not a curated record.
GCUUGCUUCGGCAGCGCAUGUACUAAAGUUGGAAUGGUACGGGAAAAACUAGCAUGGUCCCUGCGCCAAGAUGACACGCAAAUUCAUGGAGCGUUCCAUGUUUUG